Molecule: ribosomal RNA, 494 nt
Filed under: uncultured bacterium
Lineage: Bacteria
Description: partial 16S ribosomal RNA
Rfam family: Bacterial small subunit ribosomal RNA
Source: RNAcentral
GACGAACGCUGGCGGCGUGCUUAACACAUGCAAGUCGAACGGAAAGGCCUGCUUUCCCUUGUGGAUUGCGGGUACUCGAGUGGCGAACGGGUGAGUAACACGUGAGUGAUCUGCCCCCACCUUGGGUAUAAGCCUGGGAAACUGGGUCUAAUUCCCGAUAGGACUGCAGGGUGGUGCCUGUGGUGGACAACGAUUUUCUAGUGGUUGGGGAUGAGCUCGCGGCCUAUGAGCUUGUUGUUGGGGUAAUGGCCUACCAAGGCGGCGACGGGUAGCCGGACGGGGAGGGGGGACGGUGACAUUGGGACUGGGACACGGCCCAGACGGCUACGGGAGGCAGCAGUUGGGGAUAUUGCAGCAUGGGCGGAAGCCUGAUGCAGCGACGCCGUGUGGGGGAUGACGGGCUUCGGGUUGUAAACUACUUGCGACCGCGAGGAAGCCACCUGGUUGGAAGGGUGGUGACGGUAGUGGUAGAAGAAGCACCGGCUAACUACGUG